GAUGAACGCUGGCGGCGUGCUUAACACAUGCAAGUCGAACGGAAGGGCCCAAGCUUGCUUGGGUACUCGAGUGGCGAACGGGUGAGUAACACGUGGGUGAUCUGCCCUGCACUUCGGGAUAAGCCUGGGAAACUGGGUCUAAUACCGGAUAGGACGAUGGUUUGGAUGCCAUUGUGGAAAGUUUUUUCGGUGUGGGAUGAGCUCGCGGCCUAUCAGCUUGUUGGUGGGGUAAUGGCCUACCAAGGCGUCGACGGGUAGCCGGCCUGAGAGGGUGUACGGCCACAUUGGGACUGAGAUACGGCCCAGACUCCUACGGGAGGCAGCAGUGGGGAAUAUUGCACAAUGGGCGCAGGCCUGAUGCAGCGACGCCGCGUGGGGGAUGACGGCCUUCGGGUUGUAAACUCCUUUCGCUAGGGACGAAGCGUUUUUGUGACGGUACCUGGAGAAGAAGCACCGGCUAACUACGUG
RNAcentral lists this ribosomal RNA (468 nucleotides) under uncultured bacterium. Its description in RNAcentral is "partial 16S ribosomal RNA". It matches the Rfam family "Bacterial small subunit ribosomal RNA", at positions 28 to 507 of the family's 1533-position model. The record is from RNAcentral.